RNAcentral lists this ribosomal RNA (493 nucleotides) under uncultured bacterium. RNAcentral's name for it is "partial 16S ribosomal RNA". It matches the Rfam family "Bacterial small subunit ribosomal RNA", at positions 29 to 523 of the family's 1533-position model. The record is from RNAcentral.
AUUGAACGCUGGCGGCAUGCUUUACACAUGCAAGUCGAACGGUAACAGGUUAAGCUGACGAGUGGCGAACGGGUGAGUAAUGCAUCGGAACGUGCCCGAUCGUGGGGGAUAACGCAGCGAAAGCUGCGCUAAUACCGCAUACGGUCUGAGGAUGAAAGCGGGGGACCGUAAGGCCUCGCGCGAUCAGAGCGGCCGGUGUCGGAUUAGGUAGUUGGUGGGGUAAAGGCCCACCAAGCCGACGAUCGGUAGCUGGUCUGAGAGGACGACCAGCCAGCCUGGGAGUGAGGCACGGCCGAGACUCCGAGGGGAGGCAGCAGUGGGGAAUUUUGGACAAUGGGCGAAAGCCGGAUCCAGCCAUGCCGCGGGCAGGAUGAAGGCCUUCGGGUUGUAAACUGCUUUUGUACGGAGCGAAAAGGACUGCCCUAAUACGGUGGUCCCAUGACGGUACCGUAAGAAUAAGCACCGGCUAACUACGUGCCAGCCGCCGCCGUAA